GACGAACGCUGGCGGCGUGCUUAACGCAUGCAAGUCGAACGAGAUCCAUCCAGCUUGCUGGUGAAGAUCUAGUGGCGAACGGGUGAGUAACACGUGAGGAACCCACCCCGAAGACCGGGAUAACCCUCCGAAAGGAGAGCUAAUACCGGAUGCCCUCACCGGGUCGCAUGGUCUGGUGAGGAAAUGGAUUCCGCUUCGGGACGGCCUCGCGGCCUAUCAGCUUGUUGGUGAGGUAACGGCCCACCAAGGCUUCGACGGGUAGCUGGUCUGAGAGGACGGUCAGCCACACUGGGACUGAGACACGGCCCAGACUCCUACGGGAGGCAGCAGCGGGGAAUAUUGCGCAAUGGGCGAAAGCCUGACGCAGCAACGCCGCGUGAGGGAUGAA
RNAcentral lists this ribosomal RNA (388 nucleotides) under uncultured bacterium. RNAcentral's name for it is "bacterial SSU rRNA". It matches the Rfam family "Bacterial small subunit ribosomal RNA", at positions 28 to 412 of the family's 1533-position model. The record is from RNAcentral.